Molecule: ribosomal RNA, 513 nt
Filed under: uncultured bacterium
Lineage: Bacteria
Description: partial 16S ribosomal RNA
Rfam family: Bacterial small subunit ribosomal RNA
Source: RNAcentral
GGUGAACGCUGGCGGCGUGCCUAAUACAUGCAAGUCGAGCGAACAGACGAGGAGCUUGCUCCUCUGACGUUAGCGGUGGACGGGUGAGUAACACGUGGAUAACCUACCUAUAAGACUGGGAUAACUUCGGGAAACCGGAGCUAAUACCGGAUAACAUGUUGAACCGCAUGGUUCAACAGUGGAAGACGGUCUUGCUGUCACUUAUAGAUGGAUCCCCGCCGCAUUAGCUAGUUGGUAAGGUAACGGCUUACCAAGGCAACGAUGCGUAGCCGACCUGAGAGGGUGAUCGGCCACACUGGAACUGAGACACGGUCCAGACUCCUACGGGAGGCAGCAGUAGGGAAUCUUCCGCAAUGGGCGAAAGCCUGACGGAGCAACGCCGCGUGAGUGAAGAAGGUCUUCGGAUCGUAAAACUCUGUUAUUAGGGAAGAACAAAUGUGUAAGUAACUAUGCACGUCUUGACGGUACCUAAUCAGAAAGCCACGGCUAACUACGUGCCAGCAGCCGCCGUAA